CUAAGAAUCUUCCUCAAUGGGGGAAACCCUGAAGGAGCGACACUGCGUGCAGGAUGAAGGCCCUUUGGGUUGUAAACUGCUUUUGUAGGGGAGAAAUAAGCGAAUGUGAUGAUAGUACCCUACGAAUAAGUCCCGGCUAACUACGUGCCAGCGGCCGCGGUAAAACGUAAGGGGCGAACGUUGCUCGGAAUUACUGGGCGUAAAGGGCCGGUAGGUGGCUUUAUAAGUCAGUUGUCAAAUACCCAUGCUUAACGUGGGAAAGGCGACUGAUACUGUAUAGCUUGAGUAGAGGAAGGGAUGACGGAAUACCCGGUGUAGGGGUGAAAUCUGUUGAUAUCGGGUAGAACACCGAUGGCGAAAGCGGUCAUCUAGCCUCAUACUGACACUCAACGGCGAAAGC
RNAcentral lists this ribosomal RNA (400 nucleotides) under uncultured bacterium. Its description in RNAcentral is "bacterial SSU rRNA". It matches the Rfam family "Bacterial small subunit ribosomal RNA", at positions 355 to 760 of the family's 1533-position model. The record is from RNAcentral.